AUGGCGGCGAAGAAGCGUCAGGAGAAAAUUGGCAAGCAAAAAACAUCACCGAAGGUACCACGUGGUGAGAGGAAUGCUCUACUAGAUCGGCGUAAUGAAAGGUUUGCAGGUAGGGUGAAGACCCCAACCGUCAGGUCCAUCUCCAUACCGGAAAUGAGCUCAAGUGGACAACCUACCGUAUUGGAAGCACACGGUGCCUCGACCUCAUCUAGCACACCGGAGUACACGAUCAAAAGUGAAGGUAACACUCCCAUCCUUACUCUCCUUGCGUCCCUUGAGACUGAACCCUCAUUUAUUGGUUUCUCACCUGAGCAGACGACAUGGACGCUUACCUUAGUCGUCUCAUGA
Molecule: ribosomal RNA, 348 nt
Filed under: Triticum aestivum (bread wheat)
Lineage: Eukaryota; Viridiplantae; Streptophyta; Magnoliopsida; Poales; Poaceae
Description: partial small subunit ribosomal RNA
Source: RNAcentral